This 695-nucleotide unclassified non-coding RNA is filed under the name Bombus terrestris (buff-tailed bumblebee). RNAcentral describes it as "misc RNA ENSBTSG00005033140.1". The record is from RNAcentral. Lineage: Eukaryota; Metazoa; Arthropoda; Insecta; Hymenoptera; Apidae.
AAUGUAAACAGAAAACCGAGUUCGAAAAAUCUUAACAAUAAUAUUACUAUUAUAUUGUGGAAACUAGUAAAGUAAAAAUAAAAUGGAAAAUGUAAAUAAAAAAGUAUAAAUAUUAAUAUCUUCCGUUUGAACGGAAAUUUAGGUUAGAUGUAUUGGUGCAACAUGUCGAAGCAACAAAUCUAAAGUUAGAUAUUAAUUCCAUUAAUUUGAAAUCAGUUAUAGCGAUGGUUGAUCGUAGAAUAUUUUAUUUAAUUGAAGGAAUCUUUGGUUGAAGUUAAAUCAUAUUCCCGCGUAUCGACAUGACGCAGAGUAUUGCAAUUCUUUCUGUGAUUCCUAGGUUAUCUUACCAUCUUCGAAUUCAACUUCCAAAUUUAACAAUAUUUGAUGUUUUGUCAGGUAAGUUACCAUCUGUAAAACGGGCACUAACAACAUGGGCUGGUAUCAAAUCACUAGCUUCAAAUCUGAGAGAUAAAAAGAUAAAAAUUAUGCAGUUGCACGUUUCUUAGACAAAAGUCUAGCUUCAGCUAUGUCCGAGUAUGUAAUUACACAUAUCUUUAUUUUUGAAUGUGAUCAGAGACAGCAAUUAUCAAAAUCAAAAAGAUGAAGAGUGAAUAACAGAUGGGAAAAUUUCUGAUCACAAACUUAUUUGUGAUUUGUUUGGAGUAUUCUACGUUUAGGAAAUAUUGAGAAGACAA